Molecule: ribosomal RNA, 253 nt
Filed under: uncultured bacterium
Lineage: Bacteria
Description: partial 16S ribosomal RNA
Rfam family: Bacterial small subunit ribosomal RNA
Source: RNAcentral
UACGGGGGGGGCAAGCGUUGUUCGGAAUUACUGGGCGUAAAGGGCUCGUAGGCGGCCAACUAAGUCGGAUGUGAAAUCCCCAGGCUUAACCUGGGAACUGCAUCCGAUACUGGAUGGCUUGAAUUCGGGAGAGGGAUGUAGAAUUCCAGGUGUAGCAGUGAAAUGCGUAGAGAUGUGGAGGAACACCGAUGGCGAAGGCAGCCCCCUGGGCUGAGAUUGACGCUCAGGCACGAAAGCGUGGGGAGCAAACAGG